This 492-nucleotide ribosomal RNA is filed under the name uncultured bacterium. Its description in RNAcentral is "partial 16S ribosomal RNA". It matches the Rfam family "Bacterial small subunit ribosomal RNA", at positions 29 to 507 of the family's 1533-position model. The record is from RNAcentral.
AGUGAACGCUGGCGGUAGGACUAACACAUGCAAGUCGAACGGCAGCACAGUAAGAGCUUGCUCUUACGGGUGGCGAGUGGCGGACGGGUGAGGAAUACAUCGGAAUCUACUUUUUCGUGGGGGAUAACGUAGGGAAACUUACGCUAAUACCGCAUACGACCUACGGGUGAAAGCAGGGGAUCUUCGGACCUUGCGCGUUUGAAUGAGCCGAUGUCGGAUUAGCUAGUUGGCGGGGUAAAGGCCCACCAAGGCGACGAUCCGUAGCUGGUCUGAGAGGAUGAUCAGCCACACUGGAACUGAGACACGGUCCAGACUCCUACGGGAGGCAGCAGUGGGGAAUAUUGGACAAUGGGCGCAAGCCUGAUCCAGCCAUACCGCGUGGGUGAAGAAGGCCUUCUGGUUGUAAAGCCCUUUUGUUGGGAAAGAAAAGCAGCAGGUUAAUACCCCGCUGUUCUGACGGUACCCAAAGAAUAAGCACCGGCUAACUUCGUG